RNAcentral lists this ribosomal RNA (545 nucleotides) under Calonectria polizzii. RNAcentral describes it as "eukaryotic LSU rRNA". The stretch from base 169 to 322 matches the Rfam family "5.8S ribosomal RNA". The record is from RNAcentral. Lineage: Eukaryota; Fungi; Ascomycota; Sordariomycetes; Hypocreales; Nectriaceae.
UCCGUAGGUGAACCUGCGGAGGGAUCAUUACCGAGUUUACAACUCCCAAACCCCAUGUGAACAUACCUGUUUCGUUCCCUCGGCGGUGUCCGGCAACGGCCCGCCAGAGGACCCAACAAACUCUUUUGAAUUUUUCAGUAUCUUCUGAGUAAAAAACAAAUAAAUCAAAACUUUCAACAACGGAUCUCUUGGUUCUGGCAUCGAUGAAGAACGCAGCGAAAUGCGAUAAGUAAUGUGAAUUGCAGAAUUCAGUGAAUCAUCGAAUCUUUGAACGCACAUUGCGCCCGCCAGUAUUCUGGCGGGCAUGCCUGUUCGAGCGUCAUUUCAACCCUCAAGCUCAGCUUGGUGUUGGGGAUCGGCAAGGCGUCCUCCGGGUCGCGCCGUCCCCCAAAUUUAGUGGCGGUCUCGCUGUAGCUUCCUCUGCGUAGUAAUACACCUCGCUCUGGAGUCUCGGUGCGGCCACGCCGUAAAACCCCCAACUUUUUCUGGUUGACCUCGAAUCAGGUAGGACUACCCGCUGAACUUAAGCAUAUCAAUAAGCCGGG